Molecule: ribosomal RNA, 252 nt
Filed under: uncultured Dongia sp.
Lineage: Bacteria; Pseudomonadati; Pseudomonadota; Alphaproteobacteria; Rhodospirillales; Dongiaceae
Description: partial 16S ribosomal RNA
Rfam family: Bacterial small subunit ribosomal RNA
Source: RNAcentral
UACGAAGGGGGCUAGCGUUGUUCGGAAUUACUGGGCGUAAAGGGCGCGUAGGCGGCUUGACUAGUCGGGUGUGAAAGGCCUGGGCUUAACCCGGGAAUUGAGCUCGAUACUGUCAGGCUAGAGUGUGGGAGAGGAUAGCGGAAUUCCCAGUGUAGAGGUGAAAUUCGUAGAUAUUGGGAAGAACACCAGUGGCGAGGCGGCUAUCUGGACCACAACUGACGCUUAGGCGCGAAAGCGUGGGGAGCAAACAGG